CCUACGGGAGGCAGCAGUGGGGAAUAUUGCACAAUGGGGGAAACCCUGAUGCAGCGACGCCGCGUGAGUGAAGAAGUCAUUCGUUAUGUAAAGCUCUAUCAGCAGGGAAGAAAAUGACGGUACCUGCGUAAGAAGCCCCGGCUAACUCCGUGCCAGCAGCCGCGGUAAUACGUAGGGGGCACGCGUUAUCCGGAUUUACUGGGUGUAACGAGAGCGUAGACGGCAGUGCAAGUCUGGAGUGAAAGGCGGGGGCUCAACCCCCGGACUGCUCUGGAAACUGUACGGCUGGAGUGCAGGAGAGGUAAGUGGAAUUCCUAGUGUAGCGGUGAAAUGCGUAGAUAUUAGGAGGAACACCAGUGGCGAAGGCGGCUUACUGGACUGUAACUGACGUUGAGGCGCGAAAGCGUGGGGAGCAAACAGGAUUAGAUACCCGAGUAGUC
Molecule: ribosomal RNA, 440 nt
Filed under: uncultured bacterium
Lineage: Bacteria
Description: partial 16S ribosomal RNA
Rfam family: Bacterial small subunit ribosomal RNA
Source: RNAcentral